Molecule: long non-coding RNA, 5719 nt
Filed under: Elaeis guineensis (African oil palm)
Lineage: Eukaryota; Viridiplantae; Streptophyta; Magnoliopsida; Arecales; Arecaceae
Description: long non-coding RNA (EGUI_LNC050410)
Source: RNAcentral
AAACUAAGAAGUAUGAAAAUUAUAAUAAAAUUAUUUUUUAUUAAUCAAAUAAAGAAGUGUACAUAAAGAAAAGAAAUAAAAUUACGAUACAAGACAACUAAACCAAGUUGAUCUUCUCGCUAUGUUCGAUGGUGAUGUACUUCCUUAAAUCCUUUCGUCUUCCUCCGUGCAGACAGCAGCAAGAUGGCUGGAAGGCUUGGUACAAGAAUUUCAAGGAAGAAAGUAGAUGGAGUAUAAAAAUAUGAAAAAGAAAGGAUAGCGGCACUAGGAUUAGGACCUCUCCUAGAUUUAUUGGAAGGUGUACUAAAGUUAGUACCUCUCCUAGACUUAUAGAGAAGAAAGGAGAGAUGGGGGCAAUAGCUCAGAGAGAAACUUAGGGUUGGCUUGAUGGGAAGAGAGAAAGAAAAGAAUUUUAAUAGAAGAGAGAAGGAGGAGAUGAUCCCCACAAGGGGGCUGAUGUCUUGAGAAAGAAGGGCUAGGGAUGCUAUUUAUAGAGUAGGGAGGCUAGGAUUUCAUGAAAAGAAAGGUGAAAGCGUGAAUAAGGAUCCUUGAAUCUUCAUAUUGAUUCUCCUCUGUUGAUCUUUAAGUCGUGUUCACACUGGAAUGGGAGCUGGUUGCUUGGUUCACUCAAGUCUGAUCCAAUUUGAGUCUAAUUUGAGUCAUAUAAAUCCAAACUCUCAAUUAUCUACAAAAUAGACUAGAGAGAAUCAAAUUUCAAUAAAAUAACAUCAAUUAUUAUAAUAUUUAGUGCCUCUAGUGACUUAAAUUAAGUAUUCAUCACACCCUCCAACUUGAACUUUUACUUGUUCUCGAGUGAAAUAGAUACAUUAGCAUUGUGCACUAAAUUAUCCUUGAAUUAAAAGUUAUCCUGGACAUUCCUAACUGUAGUUGAUAUCCGACUAGACCAUUAAUGAGGUACUUCAUUGGAUUAUCAAUUCGACUCAAUUAAUGGUUGAGCAUUAGCUAGCCAUAAAAAUUUUUAAAGAUUUUUUUUCAUCAAUUUUUCACUCUACUCUUUAAGUCUUCUAACUUGAUGUGAGUAGAGUUUAUUGUCUUCUUAUAAUUUAGUCUCCUUAUUUUUUUUUCUUCUUUUUUUUUAUAGAAAUAUUUACAUGUACAGUCAGUACAAUGUCCUAACCCCUUAAGCUUUCUAAUUGACUCUUGUAGCGAGCUUUAGGCCAAUAACUUCCAAACCAGUUGACUUUAGGGUAUUAGGUGUAAAACACCCCUCAGGUNNNNNNNNNNNNNNNNNNNNGACGCGAACAACAAUGCUUACUUAGGCGAGGAGAUCCGAUUACUUAGUGAGAAAUGUUAAAAAUCGUUUUUUUUUAUUUUAUCUUUUUUAUAAUAAAAAAAUUUUACAUACCUCGAUCUUUCCAUCCAUACCCCUAUAUAACAGAUUCUUCAUUGAGAGGGUGGGAAGAGGAUUCUAGAAUCACUCUAAAAUUUAAUGUGGUCUAAAUUCUCCCAUUAAUCAGGCAUCCUUAAUAAUUUCUUCCUUAAUAUCUCUAAAAUUAUCUAGACCGUUAAUCACUCAUUGAUUAGGGUGCCUAGUUAACUUCAAAUCGAGAUAAAAUUUAGAUAUACAAAACUAAUUAUUUCUGACCAUAUUCGAGGAUUUAAUUAAAUUAGUUAUUCUCUCCACCAACUUAAUUUUCAUUGUCCCCAAUGAAAGAAGAGAAUCAUAAUAAAAUAUAAUAAGGAAGGAUACCACCUGAGUUGAAUGCGUGCAUUCAUUGUUGAGAGAUCCUUCAUUGCUGGGUGUGGUGUGUUCUUGAUUUCAGCUGGUGUGAACGUGGCUCUCCCUCCAACUUAGCUAUUAGCAUCACUUAUCCACUCCACUAUAGAGAUUCAACUUGGCUAAUUAUUUUUUUCGAGAUUCCUAUAAAAUGAAAAAAAAAUAAAAAUAUUGCAUAAGUUGGGUUGCCUCCCAAAAAAUGCUAAGUUUAACGGCUUUAGUUGGACACUAUGAGAGAGUCCCUCCUAUAACUAACUUGGGUACGUCCCUCAAAGAGUCAAAAGGACAGAGCCAAUCAGGAGGCCUUGUUAUCAUGGCAGAAAAACAUCCGUAGAGUGUUCUAUGACGAUUAACCCGAACCAAUAGAUGUACUAGACAAGCAUGCAAUUUCGGGGACUAACAAUAUUCUUAUAAUUUUUUUGAUGAUUGAAAAGAGAUUGUGUUUGUUGAAUCGAGAUUAAGGUUGGUAGUUUAAAAGUUUCUUCAAUUAUAACUUGAUCUACUCUAAUUUCUAUCGCGGAUAUGAUAUGUUUUAUCAUCAUCUCUUCCUAAUCUAUAACAUGGCACUUUUUCUAAAUUAACAUUAAAUCUGUCUCUAUAUAUUGUUUUAACACCACAAAAAGAUUUUGGAGACGGUCAUUGAAAGUAAUGCCAAAGAUUUUAGAUAAAUCAGUUAUAAAAAUCUCAAUAUCAUCAUCUCUCAUUUCAAAGAUAUCCCAUCCAAUAGUUUUUUUAUGUACUUUUAGAAUACUUAUAAGUUGGGCUUCCUGAUUAGGGAUCGCUAGAGGGGUGUCAGUAGGUGCGUCAGGAAGUGGCUUCAGUUCUAGAGCAGGUGGUGAUUCUAAUAAGAAAGCUAUUGAAAGGUGAGGUGAUGGCUCAUAUUUUUUGAUCCAAAGUAGGAUGGUUUUAGGAUAGGGUAUAUCGACUAGAUCAUUUAUUUUUGUGAUAUCUCCAUCGACAUCAAAAUCGUCCACCUCGAAGUGAGCUAAACAGGGAUCUAAAGAAUCUUAGAAGAGAAUUAUGGGUGUAAUUUUUUUUAUUAUUUAUUCAUUUGUGGUCCUUAGAAAGUCUCAAUUAAUUUUAUUUUAUCAAUUUGUCUAUCCUUCCCAUAAAAAAAAGUGGGUGAUUCUAGGACAUUUGAAAAGAGGGCGAUAGGUAAGUAGAAUAAUGAUGGAAUUGAUUUGUCCUAUCAUUUGAAUUUUUCUCUAGAUAUUUCUGUCUUAGUGAAAUUAUUUAUAUUAAUCGUUUUGGUUGUGCAGGAUUGUUUUAGGAUCAUUUUAUUUCAGACAAUCAUAAUCGAUUGUUCUGAAAAAAUUACAGAGAUAUUAAAAUUUUUAGUCAGAUAUUGUCUCUCAGGAUCACUCUCAGGCUGACUAAGCAGCUCUUCUUCCUCUUUCCUACUAGUUGUAAUUGCUGAUUGAUCGACUUGAAUUUCUAUUUCGGCUAAGGAUUGUAUAGAGGAGUGAAGAAGCUGAUUGGUGCUUUCAAUCAUAUCUAGUGCUUGCAGAAUCUUCUCUUCAAAUGAUGGGCUAUAAAUAGUUGGAGAAGGUUGAUAUUGUGAAUAGGAUAAGUCGUAAUAAGAUGCUUCUACAAACUUAGAUCCUUGUGUUGUCGGGUACUCACUGGGUGUGAGUUCUACGAAAAAUUUGGUUGAACCCCCCAACCUGGAUUGUAAUCGUUUAAGAAUAGAUUAUUUUCUAGUUCGUAGGCUAUUUGGAUUUGAUCUUGAUGAACUUGCUUAUACCUAAACUCAAAAAAAUUGGUGCACAAUUAGGCAUUCAACUUGUGCAGGAAGAAAAGAUGUAGAGAGAGUAUGUCUAAUAGCUGACAGGCAAUCUAAUUUAUAAGACAGCUCAUCAUUUCUAUUGUAGAAAUCUAUAUUUCUAGCACAGAUUUAAUUUAUCGGAUUGUUCUUGAUUGAUUUUAAAAGAUCUAUGUCUAGAUUAGAAUAAUCCCCUUCUAAUUUUUUUUUUAAGGAAGAAGGAGAGAAGAUGAAGAAGAGAAGAGUAAGAAAGAGAGAAGUUCUAAAUAUGAGAACCCUAAGAGUCCUAAAUCUAGAGAUGAUAGAUACGAAGAUUAUUUUUUAUUUUUUUAUAUUUCAGAUAAGUGAUGUAUUCAAAUCAACUCUAUCCUAGGAUUAAUCUAGAUCUAGACAGCUUCUAACUGCCAAGGUCAUCUUUGAGCACUCCAAGUAAAAGGCUAGCCACUUAAUUGGUCAGGUAAGUGUAAGGUUGGUGGGGGUCCUCUGUUAUUUUCUUUAGACACCAACUGCAUUGAUCACGAACGGAACUAAUUAAUGAACCACCUUCCUUCGGGACGUAAUCUCUGAACCAUUUUUCUAAACAUCAGUUAAACUGACUAACCUAAAUCCAGUCCAACUUUUAGGGUUUCUUGUCCUACUGAGCUCAAAGAUCCUUAGGGUCAACAUCUAAUCGAUUUUAAAUUAGAGAUUUAGGUUAAUCAAUUGCAAGAUGAUGGUUUAUGGGUCAAGAAAGGGUGAUGAAAUCCUCACUUUAUGUUGAUUAAGAUUUUGCCUUUAAGAUUUUUGAUGAAAAUAUGCAAUGCAAAAAGAAAAAGUAUCCAAAUAUGUUAAGUAGCUUUUAAGAUUUAAUUGAUUUAUUUAUAUUAGUUAAGUGUUAUGUGGUAUCUUUGUAUUCUUUUUAUAUUAUGUUAUCUUUAAGCAAAAAGGAAUAAAAGGUAAGUUUUAAAUUAGGUUAAUUAGGUAUGAGAAGAUCUAGUAAAUCUAAUUAAAUAGAAAGUAAAUAAUGCUAAGACUAAAAAGCAAGCAGGUAACCUAUAAAUAAGACAAUAAAUCAAAUCUACUUUUAAAAUAAUAAAUUAUUCUAAACUAUGAGAAGUAGUAAAUCAUUAGGAAUAAUGGGCAAUAAUAAAUAAGGUAACUACUUAACUAUGCAAAUAAAAUAAUCUCAUAGUUAAGAAUAAAAGGUAACUACGUAAUCUAAAUAAAAGGUAAAGAAUCUAAUCUACUUAGGAAGCAGAAAAUCAUGAAUUAUAUAAAGCAGUAAAUUAUUCUAAGCUAUGGAAAGCAGUAAGUCACUAGACUAUAAAAAGCAAAAAUUUUUCUAUGCAUGUAUAUAAAGUAAAUCUACUAUAUAUGAAAAGCAAUAUGAGGCAAAAAUUUUAAAAAAUAAAUAGAAGGUAAUUAAGUAAUUAAAGUAAAUUAAUCAAUAAUAAAAGAUAAAUUACUAAUUAACAAAGUAAAGUACGAAAAGUAAGAGUGUAAGAGAAGAAAAUAAUCAAUUAGAAAUAUAAAGCAGUAAAGCAUAUGAGGUAGUUAAGCAAUCUAAAGUAAGAAAUAACAAUUUAGAAAGUAGUAAAAAUUUUUUAUUAUUUUUAAAGAUUUUUUUUGAUUUUUUUUUAAACAAUUGCACCAAGAUCUCCUGCAAUGGCACUAAAAUUUGAUGCGGGUUGUAGCACACUAAAAUUAACCCUACUCACUACUAUGUAGAUAGGGUGAGUCGAGAUCAUAUCCGUAAGAAUCUUAGUUGAUUGUUUUGAAAAUACAAAAGAAAAGAAUAAUAGAUUANNNNNNNNNNNNNNNNNNNNCUUUUCACUGCAUCUGAUGGUAGAUGUGCUUUCUUAAAUCCUUUCAUCUUUUUCCAUGCAGACAGUAGUAAGAUGGUUGGAAGGCUUGGUACAGGAACUUCAAGGAAGAAAGGUAGACGGAGUAUGGAAAUAUGGAAAAGAAAGGAUAGUGGCACUAGGAUUAGGAUCUCUUCUAAAUUUGUUGGAAGGUGUGGUAGGGUUAGUACCUCCCUUAGACUUAUAGAGAAGAAAGGAGAGAUGGGGGCAACAGCUCGAAGAGAAAUUUAGGGUUGGCUUGAUGGGAAGAGAGAAAGAAAAGAGUUUUAAUGGAGGAGAGAAGGAGGAGAUGAUCCCCAUAAGGAGACUGAUGUCUUGAGAAAGGAGGGUUAGGGAUGCUAUUUAUAGAGUAGGAAGGCUAGGAUUUCAUGAAAAGAG